UACGUAGGUGGCAAGCGUUGUCCGGAUUUAUUGGGUUUAAAGGGUGCGUAGGUGGUCUAUUAAGUCAGUGCUGAAAUAUCCCGGCUUAACCGGGAGGGUGGCAUUGAUACUGAUGGACUUGAGUAGAGUCGAGGUAGGCGGAAUUGACGGUGUAGCGGUGAAAUGCUUAGAUAUCGUCAAGAACACCUAUAGCGAAGGCAGCUUACUAGGCUCUAACUGACACUGAGGCACGAAAGUGUGGGGAUCAAACAGGAUUAGAUACCCUGGUAGUCCACACUGUAAACGUUGAUUACUCGAUGUUGGCGAUACACAGCCAGCGUCUUAGCGAAAGCGAUAAGUAAUCCACCUGGGGAGUACGCCGGCAACGGUGAA
This 372-nucleotide ribosomal RNA is filed under the name uncultured bacterium. Its description in RNAcentral is "bacterial SSU rRNA". It matches the Rfam family "Bacterial small subunit ribosomal RNA", at positions 524 to 898 of the family's 1533-position model. The record is from RNAcentral.